RNAcentral lists this ribosomal RNA (979 nucleotides) under uncultured bacterium. Its description in RNAcentral is "bacterial SSU rRNA". It matches the Rfam family "Bacterial small subunit ribosomal RNA". The record is from RNAcentral.
GCCGUUCAAUAUCGGUAAAUUACUUAGGCGUAAUGAGACGUAGGGCAGCGUGCUAAGUCAGCGUGGAAAUACUCCGGGCUUAAUCCUCGUAUUGACGCUUGGACUGGGCCAGCUUAGAGUGCUGGCAGAGGGAGGUGGAUACUACGCUGUAGCAGCUGAAAUACGUAGAUAUGUGGAGGGACACCCACUGGCGAAGGCAGCCUCCUUGGGCCGGCACUGACGCUCAUGCACGAAAGCGUGGGGAGCAAACAGGAUUAGAUACCCUGGUAGUGCACGCCCCCAAACGAUGUCGACUAGUUGUUGGGGAAGGUAACUUCCUUAGUAACGUAGCUAACGCGCGAAGUCGACCGCCUGGGGAGUACGGCCGCAAGGUUAAAACUCAAAGGAAUUGACGGGGACCCGCACAAGCGGUGGAUGAUGUGGAUUAAUUCGAUGCAACGCGAAAAACCUUACCUACCCUUGACAUGCUAGGAACCCUGCUGAGAGGUGGGGGUGCCCGAAAGGGAGCCUAGACACAGGUGCUGCAUGGCUGUCGUCAGCUCGUGUCGUGAGAUGUUGGGUUAAGUCCCGCAACGAGCGCAACCCUUGCCGCUAAUUGCCACCAUUAAGUUGGGCACUUUAGUGGGACUGCUGGUGACAAACCGGAGGAAGGUGGGGAUGACGUCAAGUCCUCAUGGCCCUUAUGGGUAGGGGUUCACACGUCAUACAAUGGCGCAUACAGAGGGGUGCGAAACCGCGAGGUGGAGCCAAUCCCAGAAAGUGCGUCGUAGUCCGGAUUGCAGUCUGCAACUCGACUGCAUGAAGUCGGAAUCGCUAGUAAUCGCGGAUCAGCAUGUCGCGGUGAAUACGUUCCCGGGUCUUGUACACACCCCCCGUCACACCAUGGGAGUGGGGUUCACCAGAAGCCGUUAGCCUAACCGCAAGGAGGGGGACGACCACGGUGAGCUUCAUGACUGGGGUGAAGUGUAACAAGGUAACC